RNAcentral lists this ribosomal RNA (448 nucleotides) under uncultured bacterium. Its description in RNAcentral is "bacterial SSU rRNA". It matches the Rfam family "Bacterial small subunit ribosomal RNA", at positions 335 to 799 of the family's 1533-position model. The record is from RNAcentral.
ACUCCUACGGGAGGCAGCAGUGGGGAAGUCUUGGACAAUGGGCGCAAGCCUGAUCCAGCCAUGCCGCGUGAGUGAUGAAGGCCCUAGGGUCGUAAAGCUCUUUCGCCUGUGAAGAUAAUGACGGUAGCAGGUAAAGAAACCCCGGCUAACUCCGUGCCAGCAGCCGCGGUAAUACGGAGGGGUUAGCGUUGUUCGGAAUUACUGGGGCGUAAAGCGCGCGUAGGCGGACUAUUAAGUCAGAGGUGAAAUCCCGGGGCUCAACCCGGAACUGCCUUUGAUACUGGUAGUCUUGAGUUCGAGAGAGGUAAGUGGAAUUCCGAGUGUAGAGGUGAAAUUCGUAGAUAUUCGGAGGAACACCAGUGGCGAAGGCGGCUUACUGGCUCGAUACUGACGCUGAGGUGCGAAAGUGUGGGGAGCAAACAGGAUUAGAUACCCUGGUAGGAUAGCG